Long non-coding RNA from Sinocyclocheilus anshuiensis, 401 nucleotides. RefSeq lists it as uncharacterized. The transcript has 3 exons. NCBI's taxonomy places the organism in Eukaryota, Metazoa, Chordata, Actinopteri, Cypriniformes, Cyprinidae. The record is from RefSeq and is a predicted model, not a curated record.
AGACCAUGAUGUGUGAAUGAAUCUUGGCCAAGUUGUUGCAAACACAGUGUCUUAUCAUUGAAAGUCUUAUAACUUCAUGUCAAAGAGUGACCUUUCACGCACUUAUCCAGCAUACAGUUCAGGUUGCUGCAUCCACAGGACAUUCAGUGGUGCUGGUGGACACAUCUGAGGACAUACUGAAGAAAUGUACAAAGGGUAUUGAGGCUAGUCUGAAGAGAGUGGCAAAGAAGAAAUUUGCAGAAAAGCCUGAGGAUGGAGAGGCCUUCGUUCAGAAAGUCCUGAAGAACAUCUCUACUAGCACAGAUGCUGUGUGUAGUUCAGGGCACUGAUCUUGUGGUGGAAGCUAUUGUGGAAAACCUAAAAGUCAAACAAGAUCUGUUUGGAGCUUUGGACAAAGCGGC